Meleagris gallopavo (turkey) is the source of this 908-nucleotide non-coding RNA. NCBI's taxonomy places the organism in Eukaryota, Metazoa, Chordata, Aves, Galliformes, Phasianidae. The record is from RefSeq and is a predicted model, not a curated record.
UGUCUGGCACUGAAGAAGGAUCUCUUUCUGGAGAUCUCUCCUUCUGGAGUUUGCUGAGGGCCUACAACACCGGGAAGUAAAGAGAGCCUGCAAUAAAAACCUCUUGUCAUGGCUGACCAGGAGAUGAAGUCAUAUGAGUUGCUGCUGACUGAGGUGAUCUGUGCUGCAGGCAUACUGGGACUCACCAUGAGAUGCCUCACCAGGCUGCACAGAAACUCCAGCCAUUCCUCAGCUCUGCUGAUGUUUAUGUAACUCUUCCUGCAGGCAGCACAGGACAGGAAGAAAAAAGUCAAAGGGAAUGGGCUUUGACUAGCUGUCAAGAUGUGAACUUUGAAUUUAGCUAACCUGUGCUUUAGUUGUUGCCUCAUCACACCCACAGCAUACUUCUCUCUGAACUUAGCCUUUUUAUGGAUUAACUCUUACCAAACAUACAUUAGCUUCACCUCCUAGCAAUGUGAUUUCUGAACAUAAAAUAAGUAAACGUCAACAGACCUGUCUUCUUGUCUACUCUUUUGCCUUGAGGUUGGAUAAACUAACUAAAUUGCUCUUAGAAGAUAUUUGAUGCAUUUUUAAUAGUACAGCUGCAUAAAGAUUAAAGUUCUGCAACCUUGCUAAACAAUCCAUCCCAGUGCUCAUCUGUUCUGCUCGGAUGUUUUACACAUCUUGAGCUGUGCAGCUAAUAUUUUAUUCAAGAGUAGCUCAUCUUGGGUUGAAACUAUCAAGAGAUGUGAAAGGUGGCAUGAAAUGCUUCUGUAAAAGCAUCAAUGGUAAAAAAGGAAGAAGAAGAAAGCGUGCAGCUUAACAUGGCAAGGGACCUAGAGAUGAAAGACAGAAAGAAGGCCAAGGUACCCAGAAUCUUUUCCCUCAAUUGAAUCUGCACAGACACAGGAUGAGCUCAGGCUGUCAUG